UGGGGAAUCUUGGACAAUGGGCGCAAGCCUGAUCCAGCCAUGCCGCGUGGAUGAUGAAGGCCUUAGGGUUGUAAAAUCCUUUCGCCGAGGACGAUAAUGACGGUACUCGGAGAAGAAGCUCCGGCUAACUUCGUGCCAGCAGCCGCGGUAAUACGAAGGGGGCUAGCGUUGUUCGGAUUUACUGGGCGUAAAGCGCGUGUAGGCGGGUCGUUAAGUUGGGGGUGAAAUCCCGAGGCUCAACCUCGGAACUGCCUUCAAAACUGGCGACCUGGACCUAAGUAGAGGCAAGUGGAAUUGCGAGUGUAGAGGUGAAAUUCGUAGAUAUUCGCAGGAACACCAGUGGCGAAGGCGACUUGCUGGACUUAUGGUGACGCGUAGAC
This 380-nucleotide ribosomal RNA is filed under the name uncultured bacterium. RNAcentral's name for it is "bacterial SSU rRNA". It matches the Rfam family "Bacterial small subunit ribosomal RNA", at positions 355 to 752 of the family's 1533-position model. The record is from RNAcentral.